Regulatory RNA element from Buceros rhinoceros silvestris, 47 nucleotides. It matches the Rfam family "Histone 3' UTR stem-loop". From Rfam's summary of the family: The mRNAs of metazoan histone genes lack a poly-A tail. 3' end processing occurs at a site between a highly conserved stem-loop (modelled by this family) and a purine rich region around 20 nts downstream (the histone downstream element, or HDE). The stem-loop is bound by a 31 kDa stem-loop binding protein (SLBP - also termed the histone hairpin binding protein, or HBP). NCBI's taxonomy places the organism in Eukaryota, Metazoa, Chordata, Aves, Bucerotiformes, Bucerotidae. The record is from Rfam.
ACAAAGGCUCUUUUCAGAGCCACCCAAUCUUCCAAGAGAAGAGCUGU